CUGAGAGGAGCCUGUGUACCGUCGGUACACAGUAACCUGAACUCAUCACUCUCACUCUCUGAGGGAUGAAGGGACAGAAGAUGGAAGGAGGGUGAAAAAGCAGAUUAGCUUGGCAACACCACUUUGGUGCCCUUAAGCAAGGCCCUUAACCCAAACUGCUCCAGUGGCUAACAGGUCAGACUUUGGUUGUACUUGGCAGCUUCCAGGUGUGAAUGUGUGUAACUGUGUGAUCAGGGCGUUCCUGUAAAGGCUAGGUUCCCUCUCAGUGAAACUAACCUGAAUAAAUUAAGGUGUAAAAAACAUUUUUAGAAAACUGCAUAAGUACCCUCCAGAAGCAAGUAUUUUUGUUGGGGUAUUUUUGCCUCAAGUGAAUAGAUGAACAGUACAGAGCUGACAAGAAAUUAGAAGAAAGGGACAUGGGGGAGGAUUUGCUCUGACUGGUGAUGUAAUGACAUGGUCAGUGUCUUAAUCCCCUAGACCACAAGGACAGUGCAGUUUUUAAAUUGUAAUAGAAUAAAUGAAUAGUAAGAUACAACUGAAGCUCUAUUACAAGAUAUUGUUUACCUUCAAUACUUUUAAGGGCUAAAUGGUCCACAAAUGCAACAUCCCCUGCCCCGCUCCUGAGACAUCUGUGACAGAGAAAAACAGUCAAGCCUGACCUGAGGGCUCCCUGGCUGUUGUAGAAGGGCUCACUGUGGGAUGUUUCACAGUGGUAAUUCUUCUGGCGAAUGUAAGACUUUUGGCCUUGGCAAAGAGCACACAGAGGAGCUGCCAUGGCUGCAGC
Seriola aureovittata is the source of this 784-nucleotide long non-coding RNA. RefSeq lists it as uncharacterized. Lineage: Eukaryota; Metazoa; Chordata; Actinopteri; Carangiformes; Carangidae. The transcript has 3 exons. The record is from RefSeq and is a predicted model, not a curated record.